UGAAACUGGGAGUCUUGAGGGCAGGAGAGGAAAGUGGAAUUCCUGGUGUAGCGGUGAAAUGCGUAGAAAUCAGGAGGAACACCGGUGGCGAAGGCGACUUCCUGGACUGUCCCUGACGCUG
RNAcentral lists this ribosomal RNA (121 nucleotides) under uncultured bacterium. RNAcentral's name for it is "partial 16S ribosomal RNA". It matches the Rfam family "Bacterial small subunit ribosomal RNA", at positions 628 to 748 of the family's 1533-position model. The record is from RNAcentral.